UACAGAGGGUGCAAGCGUUGCUCGGAUUUACUGGGCGUAAAGCGUACGCAGACGGUGCCAAAGGUCGGAUGUGAAAGCCCCGGGCUCAACCUGGGAACUGCAUCCGAAACCGUGGCGCUCGAGUAUGGGAGAGGGAAGCGGAAUUCCUGGUGUAGAGGUGAAAUUCGUAGAUAUCAGGAGGAACAUCUGUGGCGAAGGCGGCUUCCUGGCCCAUUACUGACGUUCAGGUACGAAAGCGUGGGUAGCAAACAGGAUUAGAUACCCUGGUAGUCCACGCUGUAAACGAUGUGUGCUGGGUGUCGGGGGUAUUCACCCCCUCGGUAUCGAAGCUAACGCGAUAAGCACACCGCCUGGGGAGUACGGCCGCAAGGUUG
Molecule: ribosomal RNA, 374 nt
Filed under: uncultured prokaryote
Description: bacterial SSU rRNA
Rfam family: Bacterial small subunit ribosomal RNA
Source: RNAcentral